UCGCGGGAUAGAGUAGAGGUUAUCUCGUUGGGCUCAUAACCCAAAGAUCGGAGGUUCGAAUCCUUCUCCCGCUAU
Molecule: transfer RNA, 75 nt
Filed under: Chlamydia avium
Lineage: Bacteria; Pseudomonadati; Chlamydiota; Chlamydiia; Chlamydiales; Chlamydiaceae
Description: tRNA-Met(cat)
Rfam family: tRNA
About the family: Transfer RNA (tRNA) molecules are approximately 80 nucleotides in length.
Source: RNAcentral